Long non-coding RNA from Sinocyclocheilus grahami, 107 nucleotides. RefSeq lists it as uncharacterized. The transcript is spliced from 3 exons. The record is from RefSeq and is a predicted model, not a curated record. NCBI's taxonomy places the organism in Eukaryota, Metazoa, Chordata, Actinopteri, Cypriniformes, Cyprinidae.
CAUUAUUUCACCUAGGGCUGCACAAUUAAUCGAAUUUCUAAUCGCGAUUACAAUUAUGGAUGCCUUAAUUACGUAAUUGUUCAAAGCAGCAGUUAAUCGUUCAAAGC